RNAcentral lists this ribosomal RNA (497 nucleotides) under uncultured bacterium. Its description in RNAcentral is "partial 16S ribosomal RNA". It matches the Rfam family "Bacterial small subunit ribosomal RNA", at positions 28 to 507 of the family's 1533-position model. The record is from RNAcentral.
GAUGAACGCUGGCGGCGUGCCUAAUACAUGCAAGUCGAGCGAACGGACGAGAAGCUUGCUUCUCUGAUGUUAGCGGCGGACGGGUGAGUAACACGUGGAUAACCUACCUAUAAGACUGGGAUAACUUCGGGAAACCGGAACUAAUACCGGAUGAUAUUUUGAACCGCAUGGUUCAAAAGUGAAAGACGGUCUUGCUGUCACUUAUAGAUGGAUCCGCGCUGCAUUAGCUAGUUGGUAAGGUAACGGCUUACCAUGGAAACGAUGCAUAGCCGACCUGAGAGGGUGAUCCGCCACACUGGAACUGAGACACGGUCCAGACUCCUACGGGAGGCAGCAGUAGGGAAUCUUCCGCAAUGGGCGAAAGCCUGCCGGAGCAACGCCGCGUGAGUGAUGAAGGUCUUCGGAUCGUAAAACUCUGUUAUUAGGGAAGAACAUAUGUGUAAGUAACUGUGCACAUCUUGACGGUACCUAAUCAGAAAGCCACGGCUAACUACGUG